RNAcentral lists this ribosomal RNA (253 nucleotides) under uncultured bacterium. RNAcentral describes it as "partial 16S ribosomal RNA". It matches the Rfam family "Bacterial small subunit ribosomal RNA", at positions 524 to 776 of the family's 1533-position model. The record is from RNAcentral.
UACAGAGGUCCCAAGCGUUGUUCGGAUUCACUGGGCGUAAAGGGUGCGUAGGUGGUGAGGUAAGUCGGAUGUGAAAUCUCCAAGCUCAACUUGGAAACUGCAUUGGAAACUACCUUGCUAGAGGAUUUGAGGGGGGAUUGGAAUACUUGGUGUAGCAGUGAAAUGCGUGGAUAUCGUGAGGAAGACCAGUGGCGAAGGCGGGUCUCUGGACAGUUCCUGACACUGAGGCACGAAGGCCAGGGGAGCAAACGGG